RNAcentral lists this long non-coding RNA (703 nucleotides) under Homo sapiens (human). RNAcentral's name for it is "HSALNT0066370". Lineage: Eukaryota; Metazoa; Chordata; Mammalia; Primates; Hominidae. The record is from RNAcentral.
GGGCUUGCCAAUGUUCCUGCAUGGCUAAGUGCCUGGGUUCGUCCUAAUCGAGCUGAACACUAGUCACUGGGUUCCAUGGUUCUCUUCCAUGACCCACAACUUCUAAUAGAGCUAUAACAAGCACUGCAUGGCCCAAGAUUCCAUUCCUUGGAAUCCGUGAGGCCAAGAACCCCAGGUCAGAGAACACGAGGCUUGCCACCAUCUUGGAAGUGGCCCACCGCCAUUUUGGAAGUGGCCAACCACCAUCUUGGGAGCUCUGGGAGCAAGGACCCCUGGUAACAUUUUGGCGACCACGAAGGGACAUCCCAAGUGAUCCAUGCAAGGCUGGACUUAAAUGCUUCUGGGCAGAAAUCCGGAACAAUAAGGAGGCUCAUAUUGUCAACUUUUCUACUCUCAUCGUUCCUGUUACACAAUGUCUGAAAGAAAACAUUUCAAACAUUACAUCAAGUUCUUCAUUUGUUUCUUCUAUAAGCUGAGACCAUCCUUGAAAUAGACUCACUUUGGUGUAAUCAAGCGUGGCUCUCAUGAUGACCUUAGUGUUCUCAUAAUUAGAGAUACUGAAGACCUUACCUUCUCUGCCAUGUGAGGAUACAGGAUGAAGGUGUCACCUGCAAGCCAGGAAGAAAGUCCUCAUGAAGACCUGACCAUAUGGCAUCCUGAUGUUGGGCUUCUGGCCUCCAAAAUCAUGAUAAAUAAAUUUCUG